RNAcentral lists this ribosomal RNA (93 nucleotides) under Pantoea sp. WMus005. RNAcentral describes it as "partial 23S ribosomal RNA". The stretch from base 1 to 75 matches the Rfam family "Bacterial large subunit ribosomal RNA", at positions 2851 to 2925 of the family's 2925-position model. The record is from RNAcentral. Lineage: Bacteria; Pseudomonadati; Pseudomonadota; Gammaproteobacteria; Enterobacterales; Erwiniaceae.
CGUUGAUAGGCCGGGUGUGUAAGCGCAGCGAUGCGUUGAGCUAACCGGUACUAAUGACCCGUGAGGCUUAACCUUACAACGCCAGAGGCGUUU